Molecule: long non-coding RNA, 807 nt
Organism: Ornithodoros turicata
Lineage: Eukaryota; Metazoa; Arthropoda; Arachnida; Ixodida; Argasidae
Exons: 3
Source: RefSeq, a predicted model, not a curated record
UGACGACCAGGCUGGUCUGAGUGCCCGAAAGAGGCAGUGUGGGGAGGAGCAGGACAAGAUAACUAAAGAUAAGGAGAGACACGAGGAGCAACUUGCAGUUCUAGAGCGUCACGCGCGCGCUGAGAAACUCGAGAAGGAGAAGCUGGAAGAGAAGAUGGGGCAGACACCAGAUAAUAAUAGGAUCACCUGUCCAGGCAAUCUUGGAACAGGUUCACAGCAUGUUAAUGAAGGUAGCAGUCUAAGCGCCCCAUUCCCUCAGCGUACCUAAAAAUGCAAUACUUUAUAGACUUGGCGGACCUCUUCCCAGGGCCUCAGCCGUAGCUGCAAACGGAAAACAAAAUAUACGCAAGAACAAGUGUAAUACGUCAAACAGUGUCGUCGUCGUCGAACCUGGUCGAACGAGUUAAAGACCGGGUGAUUCGAAACAUUUGACAUUUCGUUAGGAAACAAAUGACUGCACCGCGUUUGCCCUAAAUAUUUGCAUGAGCCCCAUACGGCACUUCCCCUAGACCUUGUAAUUACUGACUUUUCCAUCGAAUAUUUGCAACAGCAAGGUUAGGGGCCCUGUAUCUUCCGGUGGAUUUUCGCAACAACAGGUUAUACUGAAAAAAUAGCUAUGAAGCAAGCGAUCUGGUGAAGAUGAUGCAUAAUGUAAGCCCCCGGGACUUCCCUUAUAGUCUCGGGGUUUUACAUUAUACUGCUUAACCAGGGUGAGGCAACUCCUGAAUUUUCCGUUUGAUAUUCGUGGCAGCGGCGUAUGCUGUCCGGUUACCUUUCGAAAGUUCCUCAAUAUUGGCAGGUGCGUAG